AUUAUUUGCAUUUGCAAUUUACAAAUUAAAUUUUGUUUUCUGGAAUUUGAUAAUAGAUUGACUGCUUCUCUCUAUGUAUAUGUGGUUUUCUAUCUUACAUUUUUUCUGGCAUUUAUUUCUGGAAUUCUGAUCAGAAAACGGCAGAAGACGGGUUGCCGCUGCCGCCAUGCACAAGUCGUAAAGCUUCAAUUACACGUUCUUGGUCAGCUCUGGCUGCCUUGGGAAGAGUUUGAUUCCAUGAGCAAGACAAGAUGAUUGGUUUAGUGAAAGUUAUCGAGGUGGGAUGGGUGCUCAUCCGAGAAAGGGAUAUGCAAACAGAAUUUGUGGCUUCAGAAUGAAUUGAACAACUAUUCAUAAACUUAUUGUUCACUUAUUUAUAAUAUGUUCAUUCAUAAAAAUCUGUAAUGUAUUAAUUUAAUUUAACUUAUUGUUCAGAACUUAUUGAGUGAUAUUCAUUACUGAAUAAUAUUUAUUCAGAACAUAUUAAUGUUA
Molecule: long non-coding RNA, 492 nt
Organism: Salvia miltiorrhiza (redroot sage)
Lineage: Eukaryota; Viridiplantae; Streptophyta; Magnoliopsida; Lamiales; Lamiaceae
Exons: 2
Source: RefSeq, a predicted model, not a curated record